Molecule: long non-coding RNA, 852 nt
Filed under: Androctonus crassicauda
Lineage: Eukaryota; Metazoa; Arthropoda; Arachnida; Scorpiones; Buthidae
Source: RNAcentral
AGAAUUCCACCAAAGACCUAAACUCUGGCAUUGGCGGAAGUUCGUCUUUAUCAUAAGGGAAAUAAGCAGAGAAAACAAGAAGUUCCCUACUAGCAUCCCCCUCCUCAAGCUUCACCUGAACAGAAGUAAGAUCCCUAGAACAGAAAUCCCAAAAGGUGAAACUCGAAUGUUAUUCCUAAUAAAAACACAAGUCUGAGGACCACUAUCAGAAGUGCAAGAAGAAAAAGAAAACAACUUAUCCUCUCUACAGUGAAGCCCCCGUAUUCGGCCCUUAUAAAGCCAUGGCUCUUGAAUAAGAGCAAAGUCAUAACAGCCCUCCAAAAGUCACUGACCCAAAAGGGCAAAACCAGCUUGGGAGUGCUGAAGAUUGAUUUGGAAUACCCUCAGACCCAUGACACUACAGAUCCUAAGGUGGGCAAACUUCCAUCUCCACCUCAGAAAUCUGGAACCAGAAGGUCCAGGAGCACUUCUGGAAACUCAAUCCUUGUCAGUGAGUCUGACCAGUUCAUACCCCUUUGCAGGGGCAAUCACUGAAGCUAUCAAUCAUCCAGACUUGGAAUUAGGAUCUGGAAGUACCUUGAAGAUCCCUUUGUCAACCUCAGAGAGAGCCUUAAAAUUGGUCGCUCUGAUGGUCUUAGCCAAAGCAAGAGUGACUAUCAUAAUGAUGCUCUGACCCUUUGCAUCCUUGCUUCAACCCAGAACUCUCUAGUUCUCAGUUUUUGAGUCCCAGAUUAUAAGUUCUGAGACAAGUCAAAAGUUUGUUCAAACCCUGUGUAGUAUGCCACUUUCCACAGUUUAUCCACAGUGCGGUAUGCCACUUUCAUGGGUUUGGGAAGGUCCUUCACAAGAAUA